Molecule: ribosomal RNA, 499 nt
Filed under: uncultured bacterium
Lineage: Bacteria
Description: bacterial SSU rRNA
Rfam family: Bacterial small subunit ribosomal RNA
Source: RNAcentral
UGAACGCUAGCUACAGGCUUAACACAUGCAAGUCGAGGGGCAGCAUGAUCUUAGCUUGCUAAGAUUGAUGGCGACCGGCGCACGGGUGAGUAACGCGUAUCCAACCUGGCCCGCAGUAGGGAACAGCCCGGCGAAAGUCGGAUUAAUGCCCUAUGUCUCCUUUGCAGGCAUCCAAUGAGGAAGAAAGAUUUAUCGCUGCGGGAUGGGGAUGCGUCUGAUUAGCUUGUCGGCGGGGUAACGGCCCACCGAGGCGACGAUCAGUAGGGGUUCUGAGAGGAAGGUCCCCCCACACUGGUACUGAGACACGGACCAGACUCCUACGGGAGGCAGCAGUGAGGAAUAUUGGUCAAUGGGCGAGAGCCUGAACCAGCCAAGUAGCGUGCAGGACGACUGCCCUAUGGGUUGUAAGCUGCUUUUAUGCGGGGAUAAACUUCAGCACGUGUGCUGUUUUGCAGGUACCGCAUGAAUAAGGACCGGCUAAUUCCGUGCCAGCCGCAGC